CUCCCCCACUGGACUCGGCACUGGCGGGAAAAAAAGAGCGAGGCGGAGUGCUCAAUAGCUCAUUACACAGUGAGAGGAGCUUGUGUGGAGGAAGACAGGGUGUGCACGGAGGACGGAAGAGACAAAGGAGGAAGAGAUACAGACACACAGGUGGUCUGUGGAAAAAAACAGGAAGUCAAAUAGCAGGAGAAGAGAGAGGAGGAGGGGCAGAAAAUGUCUUUAUUCUAUUGGAUGUUUAGUUUUUAUUGUUAUUAUCUACUUUGUUUAUGAAUCUACUUCACUUGCUUGGCAAUGCUAACAUAUCCCAUGUCAAUAAAGCCCUUAAAGUGGAAAUUGAAUUGAGAGAGAGAGAGAGAGAGAGAGAGAGAGGCAGAGAGGGAGAAAUACCACAGUGUUCCAUCACAGCAGCAAGAUUUGUGACCUGUUGCCACAAGAAAAGGGCAACCAGUGAAGAACACCAUUGUAAAUACAACCCAUAUUUAUUUGUGUUUAUUUUCCCUUUUGUACUUUAACCAUUUGCACAUCGUUACGAUACUGUAUAUAUACAUAAUAUGACAUUUGUAAUGUCUUUAUUAUUUUGGAACUUCUGUGAGUGUAAUGUUUACUGUUCAUUUUUAUUGUUUAUUUCACUUUUGUAUAUUAUCUACUUCACUUGCUUU
This 659-nucleotide long non-coding RNA is filed under the name Salmo salar (Atlantic salmon). RNAcentral's name for it is "lncRNA (ENSSSAG00000108097.1)". Lineage: Eukaryota; Metazoa; Chordata; Actinopteri; Salmoniformes; Salmonidae. The record is from RNAcentral.